Etheostoma cragini (Arkansas darter) is the source of this 515-nucleotide long non-coding RNA. RefSeq lists it as uncharacterized. The transcript has 2 exons. The record is from RefSeq and is a predicted model, not a curated record. NCBI's taxonomy places the organism in Eukaryota, Metazoa, Chordata, Actinopteri, Perciformes, Percidae.
AUAACAAUAAUAGUGUUGGGCAAGUGAUUAGUAGGGGGAGUUUUUAUUAGAAUGUGGGUUAAUUAUUAAGAACACAAAUGCAAUUUAAAAAAUAAAUAAAUGUAUUAUUUAAGCCAGAUGGUAGACACACUUUUAUUACUCAAGGAUCCAUACAACUUGAAUGUUUGUACAUGCACUGCACAAUCAGGUCACACAGGUUUCUUUUAGCAAUUGCAGAAACAAUUCUUUAAAAAAAUGAUCUAAAAAUAGCAGCUGUGACUUGCCCAACAGUUGGAUUUAUUGUAAUGGAAAUCCACCAGCACCGUUUGUUUGCAUGUGUGAUGACAGGUGGGCUCUGAUGGGCUAUCACAGGCUCAGUGGCUGAAAUCUCAUGAGACCACAGGAGUUUGAGAGGAAAAUCAUUUUUCCUGCUUUUUGUAUCAGUGAUGCACACAAUAUGUACAUUUUUAUAACUGUUAAAAGGUGUAUGCAGUAAGUUCCACGUACAGUUUCCGAUAUGCCAACAACACCAUUGC